Molecule: ribosomal RNA, 409 nt
Filed under: Actinomycetes bacterium
Lineage: Bacteria; Bacillati; Actinomycetota; Actinomycetes
Description: Actinobacteria bacterium partial 16S ribosomal RNA
Rfam family: Bacterial small subunit ribosomal RNA
Source: RNAcentral
UGGGGAAUAUUGCACAAUGGGCGGAAGCCUGAUGCAGCGACGCCGCGUGGGGGAUGAAGGCCUUCGGGUUGUAAACUCCUUUCGACAGGGACGAAGCUUUUGUGACGGUACCUGUAUAAGAAGCACCGGCUAACUACGUGCCAGCAGCCGCGGUAAUACGUAGGGUGCGAGCGUUGUCCGGAAUUACUGGGCGUAAAGAGCUCGUAGGUGGUUUGUCGCGUCGUCUGUGAAAUUCUGGGGCUUAACUCCGGGCGUGCAGGCGAUACGGGCUGACUUGAGUGCUGUAGGGGAGACUGGAAUUCCUGGUGUAGCGGUGAAAUGCGCAGAUAUCAGGAGGAACACCGAUGGCGAAGGCAGGUCUCUGGGCAGUAACUGACGCUGAGGAGCGAAAGCAUGGGUAGCGAACAGG